GAUGAACGCUGGCGGCGUGCCUAAUACAUGCAAGUCGAGCGAACGGACGAGAAGCUUGCUUCUCUGAUGUUAGCGGCGGACGGGUGAGUAACACGUGGAUAACCUACCUAUAAGACUGGGAUAACUUCGGGAAACCGGAGCUAAUACCGGAUAAUAUUUUGAACCGCAUGGUUCAAAAGUGAAAGACGGUCUUGCUGUCACUUAUAGAUGGAUCCGCGCUGCAUUAUCUAGUUGGUAAGGUAACGGCUUACCAAGGCAACGAUGCAUAGCCGACCUGAGAGGGUGAUCGGCCACACUGGAACUGAGACACGGUCCAGACUCCUACGGGAGGCAGCAGUAGGGAAUCUUCCGCAAUGGGCGAAAGCCUGACGGAGCAACGCCGCGUGAGUGAUGAAGGUCUUCGGAUCGUAAAACUCUGUUAUUAGGGAGGAACAUAUGUGUAAGUAACUGUGCACAUCUUGACGGUACCUAAUCAGAAAGCCACGGCUAACUACGUG
RNAcentral lists this ribosomal RNA (497 nucleotides) under uncultured bacterium. RNAcentral describes it as "partial 16S ribosomal RNA". It matches the Rfam family "Bacterial small subunit ribosomal RNA", at positions 28 to 507 of the family's 1533-position model. The record is from RNAcentral.